Molecule: ribosomal RNA, 330 nt
Filed under: uncultured bacterium
Lineage: Bacteria
Description: bacterial SSU rRNA
Rfam family: Bacterial small subunit ribosomal RNA
Source: RNAcentral
GAUGAACGCUAGCGGCAGGCCUAACACAUGCAAGUCGAGGGGCAGCACGUCUUCGGAUGGUGGCGACCGGCGCACGGGUGCGUAACGCGUAUGCAACCUACCUCUUACAGUGGGAUAGCCCAGAGAAAUUUGGAUUAAUACCGCAUAGUAUACAGAUUCAGCAUUGGGACUGUAUUAAACAUUUAUGGGUAAGAGAUGGGCAUGCGUUCUAUUAGUUAGUUGGAGUGGUAACGGCACCCCAAGACAGCGAUAGAUAGGGGCCCUGAGAGGGGGAUCCCCCACACUGGUACUGAGACACGGACCAGACUCCUACGGGAGGCAGCAGUGAGG